UACGGAGGAUGCAAGCGUUAUCCGGAUUUAUUGGGUUUAAAGGGUGCGUAGGCUGGGUAAUAAGUCAGUGGUGAAAACCUGCAGCUUAACUGUAGAAUUGCCAUUGAUACUGUUAUUCUUGAGUGCGAUUGAGGUAGGCGGAAUGUGUAAUGUAGCGGUGAAAUGCUUAGAUAUUACACAGAACACCGAUUGCGUAGGCAGCUUACUAAGUCGUAACUGACGCUGAGGCACGAAAGCGUGGGGAUCGAACAGG
This 253-nucleotide ribosomal RNA is filed under the name uncultured bacterium. Its description in RNAcentral is "partial 16S ribosomal RNA". It matches the Rfam family "Bacterial small subunit ribosomal RNA", at positions 524 to 776 of the family's 1533-position model. The record is from RNAcentral.